RNAcentral lists this long non-coding RNA (1956 nucleotides) under Macaca fascicularis (crab-eating macaque). Its description in RNAcentral is "lncRNA (ENSMFAG00000060750.1)". Lineage: Eukaryota; Metazoa; Chordata; Mammalia; Primates; Cercopithecidae. The record is from RNAcentral.
UUUGGUAAACACCACAGUAAUAAUUAUGUCAGGCAGAGAUAAUUAAUGGAUGUUAAAAUUGAUAGACAAAAGUAUAAUGAAAAACAGAAUAUUUACAUAGUUUCAAAGUAUCCCCUCAUAAGAUGCAUAUUAAUUUCAAAGGAAAGACAGUAACUUUAGAGCAGUGAAACCUGCCAGAUGCCAUCUUAACUCAGUGAUCAAAGUGCCUCAUUACCAAUGAUGAGACACAUCAACCACAUUCCUCCCGACAAGACACACCGAGAAGGGUACAAUGUCGCUUCUAUGAUAUUCUUGACAAAAUGUAUAACCUGAAUUAAAUCAUCGGGAAAUAUCAAACAUAAAUUGAAGAACAUUCUGCAAAAUAACUGGCCAGUACUCUUCAAAGAGUCAAAGUUAUGAAAGAGAAAAACUAAGGAAUUGUCUCUGAUUAAAGCAGACCAAGGAACCAUGAAAAUGAAAUGCAACUGGUGAGCUUGGACUGGAUCCUGAACAGAAAAAGUCCACUAAUGGGACAACUAACAAAAUCUGAAUAAGGUCUAUAGAUUACUUACUAAGUUCAUUUCCUGUUUAAAAAAUGGUACUAUAGUUAUAUAAUAUAACAUUUGUAGAAGCUAGGUAAAGAGUAUGUGAAAAUCCUUCAUAUUAGUUUUUGCAACUUUCUCAAUAAGUCUGAAAGCAUUUCAAAAGGACAAGUUGGGAAAAAUAAAAAUAAGUUUUAAAAACUAUGACAGCAAAACUCACUUAUUACAAUAUUGGUUUGUAAAGAGUGUGAAAAUACAUAUUAAUUACAAAAAUUAUAUUCAUGCUUGAAUUUAAAACUGGACAAGUAAACUUAUCCUAUGAUUAGUCAAAUGUAGGCUUAUUCAGGCAUUUCUUAAAAGCACACUCUAAAAUUUCAGCAUUUAUUUUAUUAUCAGAAGUUGAAGGUCAGUAUAACAAUUGUACAUGAAAAUAUUUCAGUAAUCCUGGUUUGCCCUUGCAAUAAUCUGAAGAGAUCUCUGCUGGGGACUAUUUCAUUAUGACAAUUGAGCACCAAAUACAGUGACCUUCAGAUUGUCAAUUCUUGGGUGAAAAUGGAUAGAAGGUUUUCUACUUGGCAGAUGAAAAAUCAAGACCCCCCCAAAUCCCUUUCCUUAGGAGGUAUAGCUUAGGUAAGGAACCUAUUAUUAUUAUUAUUAUUAUUUUUUUUGCUGUUUGCCCUAAAAUAUACCAAUAUACCACUUUAAAUAUAGUGAUUUCAUUUACCAGGGGAAGGAAAAAACUUGUAUAACCUAGAGGCAAUAUGUAGAAUAAAAACAAAAAAAAAAUGAUAGAAUAACUGGAGCCACAGGAAGCGGAACAUCUUAUAUGUCACAGAAUAUUAUAAAAUGUUACAGUUUAGUAGUUUCUUAUAUAAAUACUCAAGGAAAAACAACUGAAUAACUAGUAGCCUUAAUUUAGGGGUAGACCUAUAAUUACUACUUAUAACAGCCUCUGCCAAAUUAUUUAAAUAUUUACCUAAAAGUUAAAAUAUCCAGGCUAUAAGGUUUCCUGGCCUAUUGUUCUUUUCAUUUCAGACACAUUCCCAUUAUCAAACACCAGCUGAACAACAGCACACGAGCACAAGAGUUGUCAGAAAAUCAUCUAAGGCCAGUGUAAGAAGGAAUAGGUUUGAGGACUUUUUUCCCAAUCGGCAAGUGAGGUCCAGGUCUGGAAGUCCUGCUUUCCUUGGCCCUCAUAACUUGUGUUCCCUGGAUUCUGUGCUGAAUCUUCCUUCUUGACCUUUGCCGUCCCACUCCCCUUUCCAUCUUCUGUUUUUGUUUUCGAGACAGGAUCUCGCUAUCAUCCAGGCUGGAGUGCACUGGCACUAUCAUAGCUUGAACUCCUAGGCUCAACCAAGAUUCUCCCACUUCAACCUCCCAAGAAGCUGGGAUUACAAGCAUGAGCCAUCAUGCCUGUCCAUCUUAAUAGAUGGGC